AUACAAGCAGUGGUGGGGAUAUAUAAAAGCUGAAAGCCCGAGAACAAAAUCAAAGGAGGGGUAUUGUUCUGUACAGCAUCACUGUCUUACUCAGAUACAAUAAAACUUCUGACUUUCCUCCUACAGCCUCAGGACAAGGGCUAGGCUUUCUUCCCCCUUUCCUUCCUGCCAGAAUGGAGAUGGGGUCAGAAUUAUCCCUCAGAGAGUAUCCCUUCCUUAUAAGGGAAUGACCACAUGUUAAAUUAAUCCAAGAAUCAGGCUCCAGGUUCAUCUUGAAACAAGGAUAGCCACACUAAACCAAGUCUCUGCUAUGGCAUUUUCCGAUUUUUACCAAGCUAGCAAUAUCAAGACCUUCUCUGGUUCUUCCAGGCACUGCCAUGUAUGUUCCUUGGAAACUGCAUAGACUUAACAGCUGAUGUUAUGAUCUGUUUCUGAGCUGCAUUCUAGUGUAGAUUUUACAGUAACAUUUUCUAAGUACUCUUUAGGUACACAAGACAAGUUAAUAUGGAAAGAUUUUAAUGAAUGCAGAAAACCUGGAAUCUAUUCACUGAUCUUUCUUCUAAUGAAAGAACAAAAGAAUACAAAAACAUUAAGUUCAAAUCAAGUAUUUUAAGAAUAGUAUCAUGCCACUGAGAUAGUUCAGUGAGAAAAGGCACUUUCUGCACAAGUCUAGCAACUUGAACUUGACUCCCAGAAUCCACAGAAAGAAUAGUUUCUGCUUCCUGGGCAGUGGUGGCACACCCCUUUAAUCUCAGUACUCCAGAGGCAGAGGCAGGUGGAUCUCUGUGAGUUCAAAGCCAGCCUGGUCUACAGAGUGAGUUCGAGGACAGCCAGGGCUACACAGAGAAACCGUAUCUCAAAACAACAACAAUCACAACAAAAACAAAAACAAAAACAAAAAAAACUCAAAAAACCCUUUCUGCUCUUCCAGACUAAGACUACAUGGGUUCAGUUUCCAGCACCUACAUGUUGGGUCACAACUGAUGCCCUGUUCUGGCCUUUGUGAGCACUGCAUUCAUGUGGUACACAGACAUGCAUGCAGGUGAAACACUCAUACAUAAAAUAAAAAUAAAUAAAUCUUUAAGAGAAAAAGAUGGACAUAGAGAACUGACUCUACAAAGUUGUUCUGUGUACCCACAUACACAUACAUCAUAGACACACAUAAAAGUAAAUAAACGAGUAUCAUCUAAACAAAAUUAAACUAUUUGAAUGUUAAACAUAUAAAAUAAAACAAAACCAGAAAACUUUUAUAAUACCUAAAAUAAAGCCAGACGUGGUGGCAAACACCUUUAAUCCCAGUGCUUAGGAGGCAGAGGUAGGCAGAUGUCUGUGAUUUCUAGGCCAGCUUGUUCUACAGUGAGUUCCAGGACAGCCAGGGCUACAUAGUGAGACUCUGUCUCAAAAAUAAACAAACAAUAAAAUCAGUUUACAAUAACAUUUCUCAUUGUAGAUAAUUCUAAAAAUGCAUAAACUAGCAAUUCUUUUCCCUAUGGUUUGUUUUGGAUCAUAAUUCAAGUCCGUUAUGAUGGGGAAUUCAAGACUGGAGGAACUUGAAGCAUCAGGUCAUCACUUCCACAGUCUAAGACUCCAGCCAGGAAACGGUACCAUCCACAGUGGUUCAGUCUUCUCAACUAACACUAACUAUUACACUGUUAGGGUAUUUUGUUUGUUUGUCAGAAUAGUUUAUCGAGUGUGUGAGAGCGCCAGGGGGCUGGGCAGUAAUUUGAGUACUCCUAUAGCCUACUCUACUUUUUUUAUAAGUUUACCUUUGACCCUUUUUUUUAUUGCAAAACUUUUUCUUGUUUUGAGACUGUAGUCCAGGUUAGUAUAGAACUCAUAAUGUAGCCCAAGCUAUCCUCAAAUUUAUGGGGAUCCUCUUGCCUCAGCUUCCCAGAGUAUUGGGAUUCAAGCAAGUACUAUGCCAGCUUACCACAACCAAUUUUAUUUUGUGUCUGUGUGUAUUUUACCUGGACAUAUGUCUGCACACCAUGUGCAUACCUGGUCCCUGCAUACCAGGAGAGGGCAUGAGAUCCCCUGGAACUGUAGUCACAGAUAGUUAUAAGCCACCAUGUGGGUGCUGGGAACCUACAACUGCCUACCACAACCAGUUUUAAAGGGUUUUCAUCACCUUCCAGAGACGUCUCCUAUCCAGCAACAGUUCUGUGCCUCUUGUCCUUGGUCCCUCUCCCUUACUUCAAGGAAAUGCAAAUGUUUCCUAUAUACAUUGAUUUGUUCUGGACAUUUCCUAUGAGUGAAAUCAGUGUUUGGUGUUUUGUGACCUGAUUAAUCCUGACAUAUUAGUUUCUGAAAAAUUGUAUAAGCUCUGCUUUUGUUUUAUAUUCUAAAUUUUGUAGUACCUUCAAGUUGCACAGAAAUCAUUGUAUCUAUGUCUAUUAAAACAUUAAAAGUAGCUUUUGUGAAGAAAAUUUCAAGCCAGAUGUACUGUUGCACACCUUUAAUCUCAGUGCUUGGAUGGCAGUAGUGUGUUCCAGGCCAGUCUGGUGUACAUAGUGAGUUCCAGUCAGCCAGGCUCACAUUGUGAAACUCUUGUUUCAAAAAUCAAGAAAAGAAAAACUUAAAUGUAUUAAAAACAGUAAAAGUGAAUGUUAUAAUUAAACCCCCAAGUAUUUUUUACUGGUUUCCAAGGUGAUUAACUUGGUACUUUAUGAACAAAAGACCAAUUUUGAUUCAGCCAUAACAUCUCCACACAUAGCUUCCCCUCCUCACAAGAUUUUAAUUUUUUUACAUAAGAUCAUUAUUAUAAACUAAAAUGUGCCUAGUCACAUUGUAGUCAUUGUAACAUAUCAGGCAGUGUAUUAUUUCUUUCUUAAAGAAAAAAAAAACAUUUAUGGGGGAUUGAGAGAUGGCUCAAUGGUUCAAAGUAUUGGAUGCUCUUCAAGAGGACCCAGGUUCAAUCCUAGCACCCACAUGAUGACUCUCAACCAUCUGUAACUCCAGUCCCAGGGAAUCUGAUACCCCCUUCUAUUCUCUGGGGGCACCAGGUGUGCAUGUGGUGCACAGACAUAGAUGCAGGCAAAACACCUAUGCAUAAAAUAAGAAGAAAUAAGUUUUAAAAAAGGCCUUGACUUUCAAUGUUCAAUCAAGAGAUUUAAGAGAUGAAACUAUGAAAAUCAGAAAAAAAAAAAAAACCCUCAGAGAAAA
This is a long non-coding RNA of Peromyscus californicus insignis, 3162 nucleotides long. RefSeq lists it as uncharacterized. The transcript has 2 exons. Lineage: Eukaryota; Metazoa; Chordata; Mammalia; Rodentia; Cricetidae. The record is from RefSeq and is a predicted model, not a curated record.